AUGCAGCUCACUGUGAUCCUAUGUUCUCGUAGAUUCGGGGAUUCCAGAGCUGGGAGUAGAACAUGGAGACUGGUUUGCCAGAGAGCCUCCAUGAGUUCGGUAUCAUUUCCUCUCCCCAGAGAACAAAGCAUGAGGAGGGGUUGCUUAGGCAGACACAUCUGUAUUCCCUGUGGAGCACCAGAAAACCAGCUCCCCCAAGCUCCUUCCUUGGCCUGUCUUUUCCACUGUGUUCCCUCAUUCUUUCCCAAUUUCAUCGACACCGUCUACACUGACCUGCUGACCAUCCCAUCAACAAAGAAUGUGGAUUCUGAGGUUGGACAGACUUUGGUUCAAAUUCUGGCUGCUGUGCUGAUUGUUAUUUAUGUGAUGU
RNAcentral lists this long non-coding RNA (370 nucleotides) under Vulpes vulpes (red fox). RNAcentral describes it as "lncRNA (ENSVVUG00000012824.1)". The record is from RNAcentral. Lineage: Eukaryota; Metazoa; Chordata; Mammalia; Carnivora; Canidae.